UCCCUGUCACAACGGCUUCCUGGCGUGACAGCUGGUACCUAAUGGAGCG
The sequence is a regulatory RNA element, 49 nucleotides long. It matches the Rfam family "SAM/SAH riboswitch aptamer". The record is from Rfam.